UGUCUAUUCUUUUUUACAGUCUAUGGUAAGGACGGUCGAAUUGGGCAAAUGCUGCUGAAGCUCUAGUUCACUAACUGCAUAGAGAUCUAACAGUUGACCCCAUGAAAGGUUAAGGAUUAGUUGCUAGUGUUAGUACUUAGAGGCUACAAUUUAGUGGUUUCGGAUGCAGCCACAGUGUCAUUGUAAUUAGGAGUGGAAUAUUCUCGUGUUAUUUGAAGUAAUGUGACGAGACAGGGGUCUUUAUUGAUUUUUAUUCAAAAAUGUUUUUUUAUGGACACCACCAAGCCCUCAAAACCAUGCUCAAACCCGCACACCAGUUCCUGAAUCAGGCACGUGGUACGGUGCUUCAGGAAGGUUCAAAUCGUCAUUGUGUACGUCACCAACACACGCUCCGAACCACGCGCCGCCUCUGCCUCCCCCUUAUUGCUCGACACACGCUUCGACACGAACGUAACAUCACUAGGUCACGGAAAUCGGGAAGCUCUAUCCCAGACCAUGGAGGUUGCGACUGCUCCAAGCGUCUGCUCCAGGGUCUGGACAGAGACUGUUCAGGAAGUGUCCAUGGGCUUAGGGUGGAGCUGAUCCUUCUGGCUCGUAUCCACAGGAGUAAAUGGACUUGGACACUGCACAACUAUGGUUCUGGAGAGAAGCAAGUGCCAUGUCUUCAGUCUGCACCAGGUCCAGGCUGA
RNAcentral lists this long non-coding RNA (689 nucleotides) under Neogobius melanostomus (round goby). RNAcentral describes it as "lncRNA (ENSNMLG00000020708.1)". Lineage: Eukaryota; Metazoa; Chordata; Actinopteri; Gobiiformes; Gobiidae. The record is from RNAcentral.